Long non-coding RNA from Talpa occidentalis (Iberian mole), 636 nucleotides. RefSeq lists it as uncharacterized. NCBI's taxonomy places the organism in Eukaryota, Metazoa, Chordata, Mammalia, Eulipotyphla, Talpidae. The record is from RefSeq and is a predicted model, not a curated record. The transcript has 3 exons.
CAGAACCAGACUGGCUGGUGGUGGGACCCAAACCGUCAUGGCUGCUCCCUCUUGCCCCAGCUGGUUGCUACCCAGCAGGUGUGUCUGUUUACUCCCAGGAGGUCUUUUGUGUCCAGGAAGGUGAAGAGAUCCAGAGAGUGCAAUUCCCCGACUGUCCUCCCACAGCCCAGUGUGGGAUCUGUCCCAGCACAGAGCCCAGGUUGAAGUGCACCUGCAACUUUGAGAUUGGGGCACAUGUCCAAAGGAACUGGCUGCAGUACCCGAAAUCCCUGGAGGAGCCGUCCGAGGGACGUGACUUCCAUGACCGUCCUUGGACAACCUGCUGACCAUGCUGCAGGCAACUCUUGGCUGGAGCCUGCAGCCUGCAUGGGGCAGUCCCGAUGCCAGUGCAGAUGGCGGGGAGUCUAGUGGCAGCUGGCUUUUGCUCUCCUCCCCACCCAUGCACCCUGGGCUCUUGAAACAGAAGAGGAUGCUCUCCAGACCACGGACCAGCCAUCAGUCUUGGAUUCUGAAAAAAUCCUACUCUCAAAUGGCAGCAUAUUUGCAGCACAAGAAUGAGAAUCUGAGAAUAAGAAGCCUUUCCUGGUUCCUGAGCCACAGCUUAUUGUCUUUAUGUGAUAUGGCUUCUCAAGGACA